Molecule: transfer-messenger RNA, 373 nt
Filed under: Pseudomonas sp.
Lineage: Bacteria; Pseudomonadati; Pseudomonadota; Gammaproteobacteria; Pseudomonadales; Pseudomonadaceae
Rfam family: transfer-messenger RNA
About the family: Bacterial tmRNA, also known as 10Sa RNA or SsrA, is named for its dual tRNA and mRNA-like properties. Its role is to liberate the mRNA from a stalled ribosome. To accomplish this part of the tmRNA is used as a reading frame that ends in a translation stop signal.
Source: RNAcentral
GGGGCCGAUCCGGAUUCGACGUGGGUCGCGAAACAGCGCAGGGCAUGUCGAGCACCAGUACGCUCGUAAAACCACUGGAAUCGCAAUUAAACGCCAACGAUGAGCGUUUUGCUAUUGCCGCUUAAUAACCGGUAAUGCUCGCUGCACUGGUUUGCCUUUGGGCCAGGCGGGGUUAAACCCGCAGCAGCGUCAUAUACAAAGGAUCGGAACUUCGGCGGGCCACUCGUCGGAGUCUUAAAACUUAGUGGAUCGCUGUAAGUCGGCCUGUUGGCUGGCNNNNNNNNNNCGGUUAAAUUCAAAUAAGCCGACUAAACAUGUAGAACUGCCUGCGGAGGGCUUGCGGACGGGGGUUCAAUUCCCCCCGGCUCCACCA